UACGUAGGGUGCGAGCGUUAAUCGGAAUUACUGGGCGUAAAGCGUGCGCAGGCGGCGCGUUAAGACAGGUGUGAAAGCCCCGAGCUUUACUUGGGAAUUGCGCUUGUGACUGGCGUGCUGGAGUGUGGCAGAGGGAGGUGGAAUUCCACGUGUAGCAGUGAAAUGCGUAGAGAUGUGGAGGAACGCCGAUGGCGAAGGCAGCCUCCUGGGCCAGCACUGACGCUCAGGCGCGACAGCGUGGGGAUCAAACAGG
This 253-nucleotide ribosomal RNA is filed under the name uncultured bacterium. Its description in RNAcentral is "partial 16S ribosomal RNA". It matches the Rfam family "Bacterial small subunit ribosomal RNA", at positions 524 to 776 of the family's 1533-position model. The record is from RNAcentral.